Long non-coding RNA from Anas platyrhynchos (mallard), 2702 nucleotides. RefSeq lists it as uncharacterized. The record is from RefSeq and is a predicted model, not a curated record. NCBI's taxonomy places the organism in Eukaryota, Metazoa, Chordata, Aves, Anseriformes, Anatidae.
CCCGGGGUUUUGCUAAGCUUUCGCCCUGCAUGCCGGUCUUGUCGCUGGUGCUGCUGUGCAUGACUCAAGGGCUGUCCCCGGUGAGGGGACCCAAAGGCGAGCGAAGUUCAGGGGAACUUCAGAGCCGUGCUCGGCUUUGCGCAUCAGCCCUGGCGCCGGCAGCCCUGAAGAUCUGUGCGGUGCUUUCUGUUUCUACAGAGAUGAUCCCUUAGCAGAUCCUGGAGCGUCCUUCCCAGCUAUGUCUCAGGAAGGAUGUGUCUGAGGGAACACCUGAGGGCAUGCUGGGUCAGGCUCAAGACUCGGGCUGUUCGCUCAGUGCGCCCUUUUCUGCCAAGAAUUAGUCAUACCUCAUUGUAUUUUCCACAGAGCCUAGAUAAAGCAUCUCCUACCUUAUUCUGUGCAUUCACAUCUCGUGUCAUUGCAGCUACAUCAGAAAUGGAAAAAAAGCCCAUCAGUUUGACUCCUGUGCACUGGGCUGUGCUUGUUGUUAUGCCCAUUGCUCACGAGUUAUUUAUGCUUGCUUGCUCGGUGGCGGGUGUUCUCCAGACCUCCCGGGACUGGCCUUGCUCAAGAGGGCCCGCAAGCCCCCCAGACAAGCACGCACAGCAGUCAGCAGUAGCCAGUGUGUCUUUGUUGUCUCAGUGGUUACAUUUUCAGAGGGUGGCCUGUGCACACGGAGAGAGGGUGGGCAAGGCUACCUGCUUUGCUGUGGCCUUGGCAGCUAGUAAAGAAACAAACUAAAAAGGAAAUUCGGGAAGCUAAAAAUGUAAUUCAGGACGAGAAGGUGCUUUUGCAAGGCCCAUCCAUGCUUUCAAGUCACACUCAGAGUCUUUUCAGAGCUGUGGAAAAAGGAACAAUGCUGAAAAGUACCAGGGAGAACCACAGGGGAUCGAGCAAGCCAUCGUAAAGCAAGCCGUAUCUUUUUGCAGCUCCAGAGCCAUCCAUGGAGUCUGCAGCUUAACCCCUGAAUCCUUACACUGUUAUGACAGGAGUUUGCUGGAAACUCCUUGAAAGAAGUGUAGUAGUCUCUCCUGGGCGACAAAAUGUAGCCCACAGCAAAGCAGAGUGCCGAGAUUCUUCCAAAUAAAAGCUACCAGAGGGCACAUAUGAUUCAUUCUGCUCAAUUCCCUGCUGAAUUGCAACACCACUGCCAGUGUCAGAGGAUGUCAUUAUGAAUGGGAACACCCAUUUCACCAUGUGGGUGAAACAACUGUGCUGAAGUAAAUAGUGAAACUCUCACAACAGAGCCAGAGCCAGUUCUCUGAUAUCCAGUGCCAAUUUGUAACUUAGUGCGUGAUUAUGGUGCUCUCACAAGGCAAACUUGCUGAAUGAAUCGGAAGUCUCAUCCUCAUCCCCAAAUAUCUGCUUGCUAGUUGGAUUUGCAAUUUGUAUUCCUUAUUUCUAAUUACUCAUGGGUUUUCUUCAGAAGGUGCUUUCUGAGCAUGCAGAAGCAGAAAAAUGAAAUUUCCCUGGGCAGCAGAUCCUUUAUAAGCACUUUUCAAAGCCCCGUGCUACAAGUUCCAGAGGAGUCCCUGGGAAUUCACAGGGUAAGGUUGCACAUGUCAGGUGAGGCAGAUACCUCCCUGAGCUGUGCUCCUUUCAGUCUCCUCUCUCCAUCACAUCCAAAUGGCUGAAUACGAAAAAUCAGUGAUCCACUGAUCAGACAGAUCAAAGGAUCUGUCUGAUUUACAUUGGACUCCUGUUACUCCAAAGUUACUUUCAUAACCCAAAAAUCUUGUCUCCCUCCUGGAAAUGUAUGUUAUAUUUGGGCACAGUGCUGAAGAAUCCCAACAUUAAAAAGGACCAAAGUGAUUGCCUGAUAUUAUGUCCCUAACUACAGUGAUGUCAUUAAUCAUGGUAUUUUGGCACAACAGUGCAGUUUACCACCGAUGGGAUAAUGGUAUUUUAAUAUUUUGUGUGAUCACAGGACAUCGGGGUGUUGUGUAGUAAUACGACCUGUAGCGUUACAUGACUAACUGUGUUCCCUUUUUUAAGCUAAUGAUAUGUGCUUAUAGUUUAUAAACAUAUAAAUAAAUGCAUCUAGUUCAGCUGUAAUAUGUUUUUUAUAGUACAGAAGGUUAGGCUAGGCUAAUGCAGAAUGCUUUUGUAGAUGACAGGCCCAUAUGCUGCUGCUUCUGGGUUGUUUGAGUCCAGAUCCUUCUACUGUCUCUCACCAAAUCGUGAGUCCCUGUGAAAGUGGAACAUACCCUUCGCUGACUCAGAAGCGUGCAGAGUAAGGAGCUGGCAGGGAGAUAGCACGCAGCACGUCAGACAGCACGCAGCAUGCGAGGAAGUUGUGUGCCAUCCCUGGCACGGGCUGUGGCCAGAAAGGGUGGCUUUGGAGCACAGAGCAUCGGGAGCGUGAUGUAGGGGGUGUGUAGACAAGCAGCAGUGCUUACAUGUGCCUCUGUGUCCAGUCUUUUGAAGACGGUGUUGGGACAGAGGAAAAGAGUGUGUUAUAACAUGAUGAUCACCUGGAGUUCAAGACCUGGAUGGUGUCUGUGGCUGGUGGACCUUGUCAAACAUGAUCCUGAUGUUUGUGUUGAAGAUGUUAGGCGCUGUAGUGUGCUGCGGGUCUUAAUUGCCUUUGCUGGGUGCACUUGAACUGUCGAGCUCGGACAUGAUGUGAUGAGGUGUGUGUGCACGGACACGGCCUGUCAGUUUGUGUAGGGACUGCAAAUACAAUUUCCUCACUGCAGAAA